Molecule: long non-coding RNA, 4192 nt
Filed under: Setaria viridis
Lineage: Eukaryota; Viridiplantae; Streptophyta; Magnoliopsida; Poales; Poaceae
Description: long non-coding RNA (SVIR_LNC002645)
Source: RNAcentral
UUGGGAGAAUGGUAAAUCCAUCGGAGCUGUUUGUUAUCAAAAAUGAAACAGAACUUUUCUCAGGACUAAAUCCAGCAUCUCAAAACUAAAUCUGGAGCAAGUGAACUAAUCAGCUCCAGGAGAUUUCUUCACGCCAGAUGAUCGGCGACGGAGGAUGGAGCGUCCCGCGCACAAUGCGCUUGAAGACCACUGGUGCGAUUUUCUUCUUCUGCUUCUUCUCCACUGCAGCCUCCUUCUCCUUAGCCUCCUCCGCAGCCUCCUUUGCCUCCUUCUCCGCAGCCUGUCUCUUCUUGGCUUCUAAAGGAUCUUGGGGUGGUGGUCUCGAGUAAUCCACACCAGUCAUGCGCUGCCGGUCCUCAAACUCGUUCGGCGGGCUCUCAAUCUCACGGGUAGAUGAAGAUCUGAGCCUAGGUGCAGCUGGUGGCUUUGUCCUGGAAGAGCAAAGUAUGGAAAAAAUAAUGGUGUGGUUCAGUCAAAUAUUUUUUCUGUAAAGAAAUUAAAAUAUGGAAAUUAUAAAGGUGUUGGAUCAUACUGAGAAGCCGUUGUGGGGUGAGGAGGUCCAGCAAGACGACCCAUAAUCCCAUUCAGCAAACCCUGACAUGGGGCACCUGCAGUACCAGUCAACAGUAGGUUAAGAUAACCCCAUAUGUGCUUUCAAAACCAAUUUUAACAGAAGGUGAUUGAGAGACAAAAUAAUAACCUGUAAGGGUAAGGGGUGUAAGAGACAAAAGUGAUGGUCUCCUAGCUUGAUCCCUGCUUGAUUGGACCCUAACACAAGUAGCAAAAAUCAACAUUUUAAUAAAAUUACUUGGCAAAAGAAAUUUUGUAAACAAAAGGCUGACAGAACUAUCCAACUGAAAUAUGAAGAGAUUGCUUACUGAUGGAGCCAAAGCUGAGCCGCUUCCAAAAGCGCUCUGGGUAACAGUUGCAGUUGGGGUUUGAAAUGAUGUAGGAACUGCAGAAUUUGAUGUUCCUGAAUAUUGUAAGGUUUAACAAAUGUUAAGACAGUAUUGAAUAGACUUAUAUUAGAUUAUAUGCCGAAUGAUGAAGAUAAUCAGAUCGAACAGUGGAUAACCAAAAGCAGAAUUUGUGGUGCCAUGAUUUGCAUAUGCUACAUUAGCAAUCAGUGCGAGUCCAAACAUCCACUAACAUAUAUACAAGAACAAUGCAUGUUGAGGAUGCAAGCUUAUCAUUCAAAAUAAAUCAGUAGUUACCAGGUGCGGCAGGGGGAUAAGCAGGGGGUAGCCUCCUAAGCAAAGCAGAAUAGUCCUCACCAGCCUUCCAUCCUGAGGGUCCAAACAGUGAGUACUAACAUAUAUAGACAAACAAGAUACAUAGAGACAAUGCAGCUAACUGUAAGUUAACAAUGCACAAUGUCACAGGUAAUAAAGGGAGAAAUGGUUCUCCUGUGAAGACACAGUUCGAUGGAAUUGGGUAUUAAUUCAUUGCCCAAGGUGAGCAGUGAAGAUGACCACUUACAUAUUCUCUUCACUUCAUGUGAGGAAUUUGUUGGGCAAUUUCUUUUUAGAACACUUUCUUUUGAAACAUCAUUGCUGUUGGAAUGUGGCCUUUUAGCUAUUUAAUAUAAACUGGAGUAGCCGAGUGACUACUUUGUACUUUCAUUGGGCAAGUCAGUAAUUGAGUAAUGCAUUAACAAAAACUGCCAGAAAAGCUGAACAUGCUGUGAGGCAUUUCAAAACUGUGUAAUGUUUGUUGGUGUUGCGUAUAUAACUAGUUUAUCGAUCGAACUUUCAUCACAGAUCAAUGUCAAGAAAGGUUUUUCAACACAUACUUGCUUCCCCAAGUUCCAAAUCUAUUUUAACACGAGCAGCAUUCCCUUCUGAUCCUGCAAAGGUACGAUCGAACGAAAGUAUAUGUUACUUUGUAAAUCAAUAGAAGAUGUAAACUACUUAGGAAAGGUGCUUACCCUUAAGACAAAGCAUUAGGAAAAACUGAAAGAUGCAGAAGCCAACCAUUAUUAUGCCAGAAGAUAUCUGAGAAAACAACAAUUUAUAAUUAUCCCUAGGCCAAGAUAUCUGAAGAAAUAAACCAUUCCCGAUAAUACAUUACUUCCUAGAUGCCUAGUCAUUUAAUAUGAAGUGAUAUUUUCUACCUAAACUGUUGAAAUAUAAAAUGCAUGCUUGGAACAUUCUAGAAGAUUUUGAAAAUCACAAGAGACUUUGACAUACAUAAGGAUAAGAUCAUGGCAAAGUAUGAAGGUUCCAUAAGACUUUGGAGAUAUCAAGAGUUUAGAGUUGCCAUGCUUCAUGGCAACUUAUGAAUAGUCUAGAGCACGAUAUUUAUAUGGUAGGAUAAGAAUGAGAGAAAAUUCUAGAAUUAGAUAUUUAUAAAGAAAAGUGUGGAAGAUGUCACAUAGCAACACCACAAAGACCAUGAGCACCUAUAAAUAGAGGUGCUCCCCUCCCAUAGCAAGCAGGUGAUUGCAAGGUAGAUCCAUUUUGUAUACUAAAAUCUAUUUUCGACAGGAUAUUCCAAUUCAAAAUAAAAUGCUCUAUUUUCACACCUAAGAUCUAUUUUUCACACAAACCUUCCUCUUCGCGAACAGACAUCUAUUUUCAAUACUGUUUUACAAAUUCUACAUAUUCUAGGAAACUAUGUCCUAUUUUCACGAAUAACAAGGAUACUGGAAAAAAACAAGAUUCCAACUGGGAAAACAAAAAUACGUGAAAGAAACGAGAAUCCACCGUGCAAAACAGUAAUAAUGCCAAUAACAUGAAACCUUAAUCAUAGAAGUUCAUUAAAAAUCCACUGCAACAAACUAAGAAUACUACAAACCUUAAUCAUACAAGUUCAUUAAACAUCCACUGCAUCAAACUAAGAAUACUACGAAGUACUACUAAUAUUAUUACAUCAGUUCUGGCCACCCUAUUACAAAAGGCAUUGCUUAGAGCAUGUUCAUCCAUCACAUUAAAGUGUGGAUAUAAAAAGUCCUCCACAUGAACAAGGAAAUCAUGCACUUCCCUUCCACCAUGCCUACAAAUUAAACAACAAACAGUUCAGUGACACACAGAUUUCACAGGAGGUUAUAAGAGAGUGAGGGACAAAUCUUUGUUUCUUUGUAUAUCUUUCGUAUAUAGCUGUCUGUAGUGCCAUCAUAACAGAUUUGCGCUGGCCUUGCCUUGUUUCAGCACAAUGUUCUCGUUCUCUAAAGCUCACGGCAUUUGAAACACGAUUACUCGCACAGUAGACAAUCCAAUCAUUUCCAUGCAAUACUGGUAAGAAGAUUUUGGAAAAAAAAAUAUCAUGCAUUGAAAGAUAUAGGGAAAAUCAAAGGGUUUACUUAAGUUUUAAAUGGACUGGUUUUACCAUAUCAAAUGAUGACCAAAAUGAUGCAGGUAGCAUCUUGGCAAUAUUUUCCUUAAAUUUCUCUGGGUCCUUUUCCUGGUGCAAAACAAACAGCAAGUUUUUUUUUUGAACCGAAACCGUGGGGCAAAGUCUCCUGGCAACAAACUUAUAAUAACCAGAGAGUUAAAGAAUACUUACAUAGUCCUGCGGUGCUAAAAAUAUCCUGGCUUUUUUACCAUUUUCCUCAUCAUACAUCAGGCAUUCAGUGAAUGCCUGUAGGAUAUAACUGCUGAGCACACCACCAGAGAUGAAUUCAGCCAUGGAAGUUGAUGUUAUGGAUAUUCCUCCAAUAGAUAUGAUCUCAUGUCUGUCAUUUACAAUACGAGGAGUAUUAGAUGCACAAAAGAAAUAAGUCUUGCUGCUUGUAUUAGAUAUAGUAAUUGCACCAAACAAAUACAAGGAGUAUUAGAAGCUAAUACUUACUCCUUGUACUUCUCCGAGCAAACAAGAUCAUACAGCUUCGAGCUUAUCUUUUCAGGCACCUUUGUGUAUCUAGCCACUUUUAGAGUUGAUAUCGCUUUUCCUCUUGUCCUUUUAGCUGACUUUUCAAAGUCACUUACUUUUUCAGCCUUCCUCUUGUGCGAAGUAUCUUCUGCCCCAGAGGAGGAUUCGGAAGUGAAUUCUUGUUGUUCAGGGACAGUUGGCACAGCUUCCCCUUGUACACUUUCCAGGGCAGACCCGAUAGUUGGCACAGCUUCUCCUUGUACACUUUCCAGGGCAGACCUGGAGACUACCAGGGAAGAGGAAUCACCGGCUGCCAUGCCUACAUUUGAGCGCACCCUAUUUGCUUUGCUGUAGAUUAGGUCAACUGCAGUUUUCUGCCGGU